Molecule: ribosomal RNA, 1364 nt
Filed under: Escherichia coli
Lineage: Bacteria; Pseudomonadati; Pseudomonadota; Gammaproteobacteria; Enterobacterales; Enterobacteriaceae
Description: partial 23S ribosomal RNA
Rfam family: Bacterial large subunit ribosomal RNA
Source: RNAcentral
GGGUUGUGAGGUUAAGCGACUAAGCGUACACGGUGGAUGCCCUGGCAGUCAGAGGCGAUGAAGGACGUGCUAAUCUGCGAUAAGCGUCGGUAAGGUGAUAUGAACCGUUAUAACCGGCGAUUUCCGAAUGGGGAAACCCAGUGUGUUUCGACACACUAUCAUUAACUGAAUCCAUAGGUUAAUGAGGCGAACCGGGGGAACUGAAACAUCUAAGUACCCCGAGGAAAAGAAAUCAACCGAGAUUCCCCCAGUAGCGGCGAGCGAACGGGGAGGAGCCCAGAGCCUGAAUCAGUGUGUGUGUUAGUGGAAGCGUCUGGAAAGGCGCGCGAUACAGGGUGACAGCCCCGUACACAAAAAUGCACAUAUUGUGAGCUCGAUGAGUAGGGCGGGACACGUGGUAUCCUGUCUGAAUAUGGGGGGACCAUCCUCCAAGGCUAAAUACUCCUGACUGACCGAUAGUGAACCAGUACCGUGAGGGAAAGGCGAAAAGAACCCCGGCGAGGGGAGUGAAAAAGAACCUGAAACCGUGUACGUACAAGCAGUGGGAGCACGCUUAGGCGUGUGACUGCGUACCUUUUGUAUAAUGGGUCAGCGACUUAUAUUCUGUAGCAAGGUUAACCGAAUAGGGGAGCCGAAGGGAAACCGAGUCUUAACUGGGCGUUAAGUUGCAGGGUAUAGACCCGAAACCCGGUGAUCUAGCCAUGGGCAGGUUGAAGGUUGGGUAACACUAACUGGAGGACCGAACCGACUAAUGUUGAAAAAUUAGCGGAUGACUUGUGGCUGGGGGUGAAAGGCCAAUCAAACCGGGAGAUAGCUGGUUCUCCCCGAAAGCUAUUUAGGUAGCGCCUCGUGAAUUCAUCUCCGGGGGUAGAGCACUGUUUCGGCAAGGGGGUCAUCCCGACUUACCAACCCGAUGCAAACUGCGAAUACCGGAGAAUGUUAUCACGGGAGACACACGGCGGGUGCUAACGUCCGUCGUGAAGAGGGAAACAACCCAGACCGCCAGCUAAGGUCCCAAAGUCAUGGUUAAGUGGGAAACGAUGUGGGAAGGCCCAGACAGCCAGGAUGUUGGCUUAGAAGCAGCCAUCAUUUAAAGAAAGCGUAAUAGCUCACUGGUCGAGUCGGCCUGCGCGGAAGAUGUAACGGGGCUAAACCAUGCACCGAAGCUGCGGCAGCGACGCUUAUGCGUUGUUGGGUAGGGGAGCGUUCUGUAAGCCUGUGAAGGUGUGCUGUGAGGCAUGCUGGAGGUAUCAGAAGUGCGAAUGCUGACAUAAGUAACGAUAAAGCGGGUGAAAAGCCCGCUCGCCGGAAGACCAAGGGUUCCUGUCCAACGUUAAUCGGGGCAGGGUGAGUCGACCCCUAAG